AUCCGACUGACGAGUCCCAAACAGAACAAAACGCGCAUCAUGGAU
Molecule: non-coding RNA, 45 nt
Filed under: Schistosoma mansoni
Lineage: Eukaryota; Metazoa; Platyhelminthes; Trematoda; Strigeidida; Schistosomatidae
Source: RNAcentral